RNAcentral lists this ribosomal RNA (243 nucleotides) under uncultured Actinomycetales bacterium. RNAcentral's name for it is "partial 16S ribosomal RNA". It matches the Rfam family "Bacterial small subunit ribosomal RNA", at positions 88 to 334 of the family's 1533-position model. Lineage: Bacteria; Bacillati; Actinomycetota; Actinomycetes; Actinomycetales. The record is from RNAcentral.
UACUCGAGUGGCGAACGGGUGAGUAACACGUGGGUGAUCUGCCCUGCACUUCGGGAUAAGCCUGGGAAACUGGGUCUAAUACCGGAUAGGACGAUGGUUUGGAUGCCAUUGUGGAAAGUUUUUUCGGUGUGGGAUGAGCUCGCGGCCUAUCAGCUUGUUGGUGGGGUAAUGGCCUACCAAGGCGUCGACGGGUAGCCGGCCUGGGAGGGUGUACGGCCACAUUGGGACUGAGAUACGGCCCAG